This is a non-coding RNA of Solanum lycopersicum (tomato), 679 nucleotides long. Lineage: Eukaryota; Viridiplantae; Streptophyta; Magnoliopsida; Solanales; Solanaceae. The record is from RefSeq and is a predicted model, not a curated record.
AAAUAAAAUAAUGGAAUGAAUAUCAAUUGUAAUUUUUUUUACUUCCCCCAAUUCCUUUUUACUUCAAAUUUUCCUCCAUCUCCACCCUUAAACGAAAUCAGCACAACGACAUGCAAAUCAAUACGAUGGCGAUGGAAAUUCGCACAACUACAGUGGAGUUAGUCACACUGACAGUGUAAUCCGGCACAACGAUGGUGAAAUUCGACAUAUCGACGGUGGUGGAGUACAGCACAACGGAAGUGAAAUUCAGCACAUCGGUGCGUUAUUGAUGAGAAGAAAGAGAAUUGCAGAUAGCAAUUAAACUAGCUAUUGCGGUGUUCGAUUUUUGUUCUCCUAUUUGAAGGGGCAUAUCGAAGUGUGGAAAGAAAAAUAGGUGGUGAACUGCUUUAGAAGAACAUGAAGCUUGAUUCUUGUAAAUCAUUCAGCAUUAUUUUGUGGAAUUGAUAAAUUUUAAAGGGAGGUUAAGUAUUGCCCUUGCGAUUCUAAUGAGGCCUAGAUUGCUCUUCCUCGAUGAAUCAACAGGUGGACUAGAUAGUGCCCAACGUUCUUCGUAACACAGACACAGCAUUGUUAUCACAGCCUCAAAUUCAGCAGCCAAGCUGUGAAGUAUUUGAGCUGUUUGACAGAUUAUACUUGCUUUCCGGACAGUUUACUUUGGUAAAGUUUCUAAAGCAAACCA